Lynx canadensis (Canada lynx) is the source of this 2250-nucleotide long non-coding RNA. RefSeq lists it as uncharacterized. The record is from RefSeq and is a predicted model, not a curated record. The transcript is spliced from 3 exons. NCBI's taxonomy places the organism in Eukaryota, Metazoa, Chordata, Mammalia, Carnivora, Felidae.
CCUGCUCAUACACAAUCUCUCUCUCUCUAAAAAUAAAUAAACAUUAAAAAAAGAAAAGAAAAGAAAAGUCUCGGGAGUAACUCUGGGAUCAAGGUCUCUCAAGAGUCUCUGCUCCACAGUGCUAAGGAGUGAGUGCCUCACAUAUUCUCUUCUCUCCUUUCCAUUUAGAGAAUUUUUCUCUUUCCAUGAACUUAGAAGGGCCCUCAAGUGGACUUGUUGGAUAAGCUUGAAGGAUGUACUGCCACUGAAUCCUUUAAGAGAGAGAAAAACCUCUUCCUAUUCCACGUAGAAACUUUAGGGCUUCUACGCGAAAGAGGUGGUAUUGGUGGGAGGAAAUAAAGACACAAUUCCCCAUCCUUUCCGUAUCUUAAGAUGUGUCGUAAGUUAAAUAUAGGCUCUGCCCUGUGGAUGUUUACAGCCUCAAAGAGCCCAUUCUGCCUGGAGGCUUGCAGCUUCUGAGCAAAAAGGCACUGGAAUGUCUUCAGCUUGUUUCAUGUGGUCUGAUUGUUUUCAAAACACUGCCAGUAGAUCAGCGAGCAGAGCAAGUGUCAAUACAUGACUCCUUGGGAGACGAGGCCCAUCUAAUGAUGCAUUUACUUGGACUGGCCGUCUCUGCUUCUUGCAUUUUGUCAUUACUUAUUUCCAGCUAAGGUACGAAAGCCUUUAUUUUCCUUAGAAGUCACUCUUUCCUGACUGUGAAAGAAAGCAGUGGUUUGCCGGUCGGUGUCCUUUUAGGGAAAGAGCUAGAUGAGCACGUGGCCCAGCUCAGCUGGCUGGGUAGACAUCAGACACAUUCUGUGGGAACUUGAACUUGAUUACCAGGAAGCAGGUGGUUUGGAUUACGUACUGUGUCUAUUUUAGGGCUGGAUAUUACCUUCAAUGGAAAACCAACCCCAAUCAGAAAAGGCCAACACCAUGCUCUGCAAUACUGAGUUUACUGAACUGUUAAAAUGCAAAACUAAUACCCUCAGAAUUCAAGCUACAGCCUUCAUUAGGAUUUCCUACAUAGGGUUUCAUAGACUCGGUUGGAGUCAAUCAGGUGCACAUCAAUUGUUUGGCUUGCUAUUCAUGCUACUUAUUUAGUCACUGACAGUCACUCUUGUGUGUCUUUCUUACUCUUCUGAGCGUAUUGGAAUCUAUCUCCCAAAGAAUUUGAGGGUUACUGGAGAAAUAAAAUACAUGAAAAUCACACAGCAUCUGGUAGCUGCCACACCAGUCUUGAGAAAGCUGAUCUCUAGAAUCUGGAGAGCUAUGUUGCCAAUGAUAUCUUUACUUACCACAAGCAAACUGCACUAUGAUACAGCAAAAUGUUACAACACCAGUUCUUCCUCCUGCAGAGGUACAGCCAGCUCGCUAAGCCCAGUGCCUCAGGGCUGAGCCAGCCCACAGCGGGAAGUUUUCAGCUCACACCAAGGAGCUUCCAGCAGACUCUCCAACAGACAGCCUCAGUGGAGCAGAAAUGGCAGCAUAGCACGUUGAGAACAAGGAAGUUCAGGCCCGCCACCCUUGUUUUCUAGGCACACCAGUUUUCUUCUCUGUCCAAGUCAUUGUUUAGGACGGAUGGUGCUGAAUACAACUGUAGGUUUGUAGCUGCCAAAGGAAAUACCUGCUGGAAUCAAAUGAGGACAGAGUCUCCUCUCAGGUCUGAACACAAGGCCCAGCCAGGAACAGGCUGGUUUCACUUCACUGCGCUUGGUUUGUAAUAAUGGACUUUUUGGUAAGAUUCUUUGAUUAAUGUUGGUCUCAUCCAGUAAUGUGUAAGAAUCAUGGGGCACAGACUGUAUCCAUCUGGUUCAUGCAUUAGAUCCAGUGCUGGCAGAGUACCUGGCACAUGGCAACAGACCCAACUGGUGGUUCCCAAACUGUGUGCUGAGGCACCCUGCCCUCGGAGCUGCAAGAAAUCCACAAGGCACCACAAUAUCUUACCUGUCUGAGGGAAACACAGUGAUCCUCAACAUCUGUGGGACCCAGAGCAGACUGCCAGCUGGAGGUAGUGCACAGUUUCAAUGUCAUAUCAUCUGCAUUCCUUUCGAUGACAUCAAUGACAUCAUUUUUGAACCUUGGUUUUUGGCUGUUGCUGUGACAAAAUGCGAGAGUUGCACAAAAUCAAUGUGAAACAGCAAACGGGGGUGGUGGGUCCGAGCUCAUGCCAAGGUUUGGGAAAGCAGACAGUGCCCAACAAGAGCACAGCCCGCUAGUAAUUGUGGUGAUUUAAAAGUGAAAUUAAAAAUAGUAUUGUUUUUGUUCCAA